GUUUUACCACCUCCAGGAGACU
This 22-nucleotide microRNA is filed under the name Homo sapiens (human). RNAcentral describes it as "hsa-miR-2681-5p". The record is from miRBase by way of RNAcentral. Lineage: Eukaryota; Metazoa; Chordata; Mammalia; Primates; Hominidae.